Artibeus jamaicensis (Jamaican fruit-eating bat) is the source of this 599-nucleotide long non-coding RNA. RefSeq lists it as uncharacterized. Lineage: Eukaryota; Metazoa; Chordata; Mammalia; Chiroptera; Phyllostomidae. The record is from RefSeq and is a predicted model, not a curated record. The transcript has 3 exons.
CUCAACGUGAAGUUUGGAGGAUUGUUAACUGGGUUAAUUCUUUAACCUCCAGGUUAAUAUAAAUCCUUACAGGAAGCUUCAUGGGUUUAUCCCUGCUUUGAAUUCCAAGAUUGACAGCUCAGCUGAACAGAAAUAAUUGUCACAGACACACUGUAAGUAGCUGCCCGUGAGCAUUAAUGGACUUGAAAACACAGAAGGUGGCUCCCAGCCUGUGGGUGGGAUAUUCAGACCUACGGCUUCCCAGAGCCCAAGCUAAAUGAGAAUCCCUCUGACAUAAUGAAGUGGGCCAAAGACAGUGCUGCGCGGCCUCCUGGAACCACAGACGUCUGCGGUUCAUUGCCAAGGGGACACACGCACACACAUUAGGACCCAGUACGUUCCAUAAGGUGGCAGAGGAUGGACGCAGCUACAUGAGCCUGUCCUUGGUUCAUGCACAGAACGAAUCUUUGCUGACAGCCGCCCUGUGCUCCUUGCUGCGGAGUUGGCGGGAGCCUUAGGCAGCACCAGGAGACCAAGACGGAGCUCAUUCCAGAGAGUGGUGAUCCAAAAGAACCUAUCAAAACACCACGAUAAUUCAUCCUUGGCCCAGCAUUUAACUG